Long non-coding RNA from Planococcus citri (citrus mealybug), 606 nucleotides. RefSeq lists it as uncharacterized. NCBI's taxonomy places the organism in Eukaryota, Metazoa, Arthropoda, Insecta, Hemiptera, Pseudococcidae. The transcript is spliced from 4 exons. The record is from RefSeq and is a predicted model, not a curated record.
AAUUUAAUAGAGCGGAUGCUUAAACGUGUACAAUGUUGGAAUUUUUUCCUCUAAUUUAACUGGCUGAUUAAAUAGGUUGUUGGUAGAAUUAUUGUAAGCAUCGUCGUCGAAUCUUGAAUGUGAUAUGAAUUAGUAAUGCUCUGAAGAUUUUGUUACAAAUGGAAACCGAUUUUAUGACGUCGAAUUAUUAUACUGUAUUUUUUUCCUCCAUUGUUAAACAAGACGCGAAGACGGUUUCUGUUUUUGAAAAUACGCGUAACAGAGAGUAUGCUAUAAGAAGUAGUCGGAGCUAUGGACAGAAAAACAGUUCGACGUUUCUUGUAAAUUUUUCACAAAAGGGCUGGAGAACUGAACUCAAUACUUAUAGGCGGUGUCAGAUUGGAACUUGCAUUCCAUAGGUAUUUCGCUAGGGGCUUGGAACAUAAUGCAGAUUUGCUUAAAAAAUUUGUACCAUCCUCGCAUCGAAUUUUGAGAAAAAAACACCCUUUCCUCCCUAAUGUAUGCAGAACAUUUUAAUCUAAUGUGUAUUGAACUCACUCGAAAGAUAAUUACAAGGAUGUAACAUGCACUAUAAUUGUAAAAUUGUCAAAUAAGGUGAUACCUACC